GACGAACGCUGGCGGCGUGCUUAACACAUGCAAGUCGAACGGAAAGGCCCUGCUUUUGUGGGGUGCUCGAGUGGCGAACGGGUGAGUAACACGUGAGUAACCUGCCCUGGACUUUGGGAUAACUUCAGGAAACUGGGGCUAAUACCGGAUAGGAGCUCCUGCUGCAUGGUGGGGGUUGGAAAGUUUCGGCGGUUGGGGAUGGACUCGCGGCUUAUCAGCUUGUUGGUGGGGUAGUGGCUUACCAAGGCUUUGACGGGUAGCCGGCCUGAGAGGGUGACCGGCCACCUUGGGACUGAGAUACGGCCCAGACUCCUACGGGAGGCAGCAGUGGGGAAUAUUGCACAAUGGGCGGAAGCCUGAUGCAGCAACGCCGCGUGCGGGAUGACGGCCUUCGGGUUGUAAACCGCUUUCGCCUGUGACGAAGCGUGAGUGACGGUAAUGGGUAAAGAAGCACCGGCUAACUACGUG
RNAcentral lists this ribosomal RNA (468 nucleotides) under uncultured bacterium. Its description in RNAcentral is "partial 16S ribosomal RNA". It matches the Rfam family "Bacterial small subunit ribosomal RNA", at positions 28 to 507 of the family's 1533-position model. The record is from RNAcentral.